This 446-nucleotide ribosomal RNA is filed under the name uncultured bacterium. Its description in RNAcentral is "bacterial SSU rRNA". It matches the Rfam family "Bacterial small subunit ribosomal RNA", at positions 397 to 836 of the family's 1533-position model. The record is from RNAcentral.
ACGCGUGAGUGAUGAAGGUUUCGGAUCGUUAACUCUGUUGUUAGGGAAGAACAAGUGCCAUAGUAACUGAUGGCACCUUGACGGUACCUAACCAGAAAGCCACGGCUAACUACGUGCCAGCAGCCGCGGUAAUACGUAUGUGGCAAGCGUUGUCCGGAAUUAUUGGGCGUAAAGCGCUCGCAGGCGGUUCUUUACGUCUGAUGUGAAAUCUUACGGCUCAACCGUAAACGUGCAUUGGAAACUGGGGAACUUGAGUGCAGAAGAGGAGAGUGGAAUUCCACGUGUAGCGGUGAAAUGCGUACAGAUGUGGAGGAACACCAGUGGCGAAGGCGACUCUCUGGUCUGUAACUGACGCUGAGUGAGCGAAAGCGUGGGGAGCGAACAGGAUUAGAUACCCUGGUAGUCCACGCCGUAAACGAUGAGUGCUAGGUGUUAGGGGGUUUCCG